RNAcentral lists this long non-coding RNA (703 nucleotides) under Parus major (Great Tit). RNAcentral describes it as "lncRNA (ENSPMJG00000015282.1)". The record is from RNAcentral. Lineage: Eukaryota; Metazoa; Chordata; Aves; Passeriformes; Paridae.
AUCCAUGUCUAAAAAUAAAUCUAUGCCAUUUCCCUGCUUGAAUUUCCUGUAGAAUACAGAGACCUAACCAAGUCAUUCUCUUUGAAGGAAACAUUUGAGAUCAUUAGCAACUUGCCUGCUGGGAGGUUCUCAAAUCCAGAUGUCUUUGUGGUCAGAUGGUAAUGCCUGGAUAUUCUCUGGACAAACUAUCUCAUCCACACCUAAACUACAAUUUCUUCAGUCCUAAGGCAAAAGAGCUUUCCAAGCCUAGGAGACAAGUGACAGCGAGAUGUGCCAAUCUGUCAGUACGGGAGCACCCAAGGUCACAGACGGGGCGGUGCUGGGGAGAGGACCUGAAGCUGGAGCAUGUGGUGCUUUCAAUGGGCGUUGGAGGUGGAUGCAACACCUUGAGAAAUGCUGGGAUGGUUUACGGCGUUGCCGAGAACCUGAAGGGAACAAAGUGUUCAGGGAACUUCUCCAAUCGCCUGCCUGUGGAGCAGGGUGCCCCGUGACUGGAGGACAAGGCAGCCCGCACACCUUUGACUACAGCGCAAGACCGAAGCCCCAGCAAAGGUGAUCAGCGCUGCUGUGGGGACAGCAGGUACACCUCUGAAAGACAAACAUCGUGGGGUUGACGCUCCUCCCAACACGGCUGCCGGAAUACUCCGCGAUUAAAUGUGGAAAAUGGAAUAAAACCAUAACUUUGGAAAACCUCCGCGUAUUU